AGUGAACGCUGGCGGUAGGCCUAACACAUGCAAGUCGAACGGCAGCACAGUAAGAGCUUGCUCUUACGGGUGGCGAGUGGCGGACGGGUGAGGAAUACAUCGGAAUCUACUUUUUCGUGGGGGCUAACGUAGGGAAACUUACGCUAAUACCGCAUACGACCUACGGGUGAAAGCAGGGGAUCUUCGGACCUUGCGCGAUUGAAUGAGCCGAUGUCGGCUUAGCUAGUUGGCGGGGUAAAGGCCCACCAAGGCGACGCUCCGUAGCUGGUCUGAGAGGAUGAACAGCCACACUGGAACUGAGAAACGGCCCAGACUCCUACGGGGGGCAGCAGUGGAGAAUAUUGGACAAUGGGCGCAAGCCUGAUCCAGCCAUACCGCGUGGGUGAAGAAGGCCUUCGGGUUGUAAAGCCCUUUUGUUGGGAAAGAAAAGCAGCAGGUUAAUACCCCGCUGUUCUGACGGUACCCAAAGAAUAAGCACCGGCUAACUUCGUG
This 492-nucleotide ribosomal RNA is filed under the name uncultured bacterium. RNAcentral describes it as "partial 16S ribosomal RNA". It matches the Rfam family "Bacterial small subunit ribosomal RNA", at positions 29 to 507 of the family's 1533-position model. The record is from RNAcentral.